GACGAACGCUGCGGCGUGCUUAACACAUGCAAGUCGAACGGAGCUAUUUAUUUCGGUAGAUAGCUUAGUGGCAAACGGGUGAGUAACGCGUAGGCAACCUGCCCUCGGGAUGGGGACAACGGCUCGAAAGAGCCGCUAAUACCGAAUGACGUAUCCUUUCCACAUGGAAGAGAUACUAAAGAUGGGUCAAACCAUCGCCCGAGGAGGGGCCUGCGUCUGAUUAGCCAGUUGGUGAGGUAACGGCUCACCAAAGCAACGAUCAGUAGCCGGUCUGAGAGGAUGAACGGCCACAAUGGGACUGAGACACGGCCCAUACUCCUACGGGAGGCAGCAGUGGGGAAUCUUCCGCAAUGGGCGCAAGCCUGACGGAGCAACGCCGCGUGAGUGAAGAAGGUCUUCGGAUCGUAAAGCUCUGUUGUCGGGGACGAAAGGAAAGGGGAGGCAAUGCCCCUUUAAGACGGUACCCGACGAGGAAGCCACGGCUAA
This 486-nucleotide ribosomal RNA is filed under the name Veillonellaceae bacterium oral taxon 145. RNAcentral's name for it is "bacterial SSU rRNA". It matches the Rfam family "Bacterial small subunit ribosomal RNA", at positions 28 to 500 of the family's 1533-position model. Lineage: Bacteria; Bacillati; Bacillota; Negativicutes; Veillonellales; Veillonellaceae. The record is from RNAcentral.